RNAcentral lists this ribosomal RNA (473 nucleotides) under uncultured Desulfobulbus sp. RNAcentral describes it as "bacterial SSU rRNA". It matches the Rfam family "Bacterial small subunit ribosomal RNA", at positions 916 to 1381 of the family's 1533-position model. The record is from RNAcentral. Lineage: Bacteria; Pseudomonadati; Thermodesulfobacteriota; Desulfobulbia; Desulfobulbales; Desulfobulbaceae.
ACGGGGCCCGCACAAGCGGUGGAGUAUGUGGUUUAAUUCGAUGCAACGCGAAGAACCUUACCUGGUCUUGACAUCCCGGAGACCCUUAGGAAACUAGGGGUGCUUCCAUCUGGAAGAAUCUGGAGACAGGUGCUGCAUGGCUGUCGUCAGCUCGUGUCGUGAGAUGUUGGGUUAAGUCCCGCAACGAGCGCAACCCUUGCCUUUAGUUGCCAGCAGUUCGGCUGGGCACUCUAAAGGGACUGCCGGUGUUAAACCGGAGGAAGGUGGGGAUGACGUCAAGUCCUCAUGGCCUUUAUGACCAGGGCUACACACGUACUACAAUGGCCGAUACAAAGGGCAACGACACUGCGAGGUGAAGCCAAUCCCGUAAAAUCGGUCUCAGUCCGGAUUGGAGUCUGCAACUCGACUCCAUGAAGUUGGAAUCGCUAGUAAUCGUGGAUCAGCAUGCCACGGUGAAUACGUUCCCGGGCCUU